UUACAUCAUACCAAUAAUAGCAUGUGAACUUUUACUAUAAAACCAACAAAGUGCAUAGCUUUGGAUCAGUGGCAAAUAGAAUUAUCAUCACCAUAUCAUACAAAUCCUCAAACAAGAUGGGGACAUUCCAAAUGCUAACGAUAGCACUAGCUCUUCUUAUGAUUUCCGCAGGUGAUUGGAUCUUUCCAUAAAAUUUACUUAGAUUACACAUGGAUAGUUCACUCAUUUUGUUUUCGUGUUCAAGUUAAAUUCAAGAUACUAUAAUGUUCCAUGUGAGAAGAAAAAAUCAUAGCACAAUAUUUGAUUAACAAAGAAGCAACAACACUCAUCAGUAGCUCAUAACCCUUAAUAAUUUUAGAAUGAUAUGAUGACGCUAUGCGCAACACAUAUUUUUUACCUUAUCCUUCUAGUCAUAUCCUCGAUUAAUUAUUUAGUGAUACUAUACAAUGUGCAUAGUAUAUUACAAUUAUAUUGCAAUUGGAGUAUAAUAUAGUGAAGCUAGUAGUCAUUAUGUGAACAAUAAUUUAAUCAUGUUCCUUAUGUUGAGAUAUGCAGAUGUUUCAGCGAAGGCUCCAACGCAUGAUAAUGAUAUUUUACCUAAUGUAUGUGCAACUACAGUCCUAGAGCCAAAAAGGAAGUGUGAAACGGCUUGGUGCGUACAUAAUUGUGGGGAACAACCUGGAGGUGGCCGUUGCGACAAUGAUGUCUGUAUGUGCACGAUCUGUACAUUGCCUUUUACCUUAUAAAAGAAGACAGAAGGUCUAAUUUAGUUAGCAGAUUAAAGGUUGAUGUAAGGGAGGUAGCUUUUCCCUAGCUGCUUAAUGGAAAUAAUGUUCACAAUAAAAUAUUAUGUGUGAUGCAUUCCCAUGAAUUCAUAAAAAAUUAAUAGUGUUCCAUAAUUGGG
This 904-nucleotide long non-coding RNA is filed under the name Triticum aestivum (bread wheat). RNAcentral describes it as "long non-coding RNA (TAES_LNC022637)". Lineage: Eukaryota; Viridiplantae; Streptophyta; Magnoliopsida; Poales; Poaceae. The record is from RNAcentral.